RNAcentral lists this ribosomal RNA (215 nucleotides) under Enterobacter cloacae. RNAcentral's name for it is "partial 23S ribosomal RNA". It matches the Rfam family "Bacterial large subunit ribosomal RNA", at positions 1 to 208 of the family's 2925-position model. The record is from RNAcentral. Lineage: Bacteria; Pseudomonadati; Pseudomonadota; Gammaproteobacteria; Enterobacterales; Enterobacteriaceae.
GGGUUGUGAGGUUAAGCGACUAAGCGUACACGGUGGAUGCCCUGGCAGUCAGAGGCGAUGAAGGACGUGCUAAUCUGCGAAAAGCGCCGGCGAGGUGAUAUGAACCUUUGACCCGUCGAUGUCCGAAUGGGGAAACCCAGUGUGUUCCGACACACUAUCGUUAACUGAAUACAUAGGUUAACGAGGCGAACCGGGGGAACUGAAACAUCUAAGUA